CCUACGGGUGGCUGCAGUCGAGAAUCAUUCACAAUGGGGGAAACCCUGAUGGUGCGACGCCGCGUGGGGGAAUGAAGGUCUUCGGAGUGUAAACUCCUGUCAUGUGGGAGCAAAUUAAAAAGCUAGUACCACAAGAGGAAGAGACGGCGAACUCUGUGCCAGCAGCCGCGGUAAUACAGAGGUCUCAAGCGUUGUUCGGAAUCACUGGGCGUAAAGCGUGCGUAGGCUGUUUCGUAAGUCGUGUGGGAAAGGCGCGGGCGCAAACCGCGGACGGCACAUGAUACUGUGAGACUAGAGUUGUGUAGGGGGAACCGGAAUGCGCGGUGUAGCAGUGAAAUGCAUAGAUAUC
RNAcentral lists this ribosomal RNA (349 nucleotides) under uncultured bacterium. RNAcentral's name for it is "partial 16S ribosomal RNA". It matches the Rfam family "Bacterial small subunit ribosomal RNA", at positions 338 to 698 of the family's 1533-position model. The record is from RNAcentral.